AAACCAUAUCAGUAACCAUAUGAUAUUUAAAAUCUUGAGAUCAAUUGUGUCAAGUAAAACAAAUCAUGCCAGAUAAAAAUUAUGAAUUUUUCCAUAAAAGCAUCAUCUUCAGGAAGGACCUCAGGAGGGUGUUCUGCCAUCAUCACGUUAUGAAAAGCAUUUGAAAGAAAGGCUGACUGUUGUUGACAAGGAGGAGGGGAUCCUUCCUGAGGAUGGUAUAACUUUGCGGCAGCCCUCCCAGAAAGACUCCUGUGUUAUCUCCAAUAACAGUACUACCAUUCAGGAUGGCAGAGGAACCUAGAGAAGAGGAGAUGAGAAAUACACCUUCACCAGGAUACUCUAGUUUUACUAGCUCAGCAAAUAAUAAAAUCCUUCACCAGUC
This 382-nucleotide non-coding RNA is filed under the name Pan troglodytes (chimpanzee). The record is from RNAcentral. Lineage: Eukaryota; Metazoa; Chordata; Mammalia; Primates; Hominidae.